This 308-nucleotide ribosomal RNA is filed under the name Streptococcus equinus. RNAcentral's name for it is "bacterial SSU rRNA". It matches the Rfam family "Bacterial small subunit ribosomal RNA", at positions 37 to 335 of the family's 1533-position model. Lineage: Bacteria; Bacillati; Bacillota; Bacilli; Lactobacillales; Streptococcaceae. The record is from RNAcentral.
UGGCGGCGUGCUUAAUACAUGCAAGUAGAACGCUGAAGACUUUAGCUUGCUAAAGUUGGAAGAGUUGCGAACGGGUGAGUAACGCGUAGGUAACCUGCCUACUAGCGGGGGAUAACUAUUGGAAACGAUAGCUAAUACCGCAUAACAGCAUUUAACCCAUGUUAGAUGCUUGAAAGGAGCAAUUGCUUCACUAGUAGAUGGACCUGCGUUGUAUUAGCUAGUUGGUGAGGUAACGGCUCACCAAGGCGACGAUACAUAGCCGACCUGAGAGGGUGAUCGGCCACACUGGGACUGAGACACGGCCCAGA